ACUUAAAUUGAAGAGUUUGAUCAUGGCUCAGAUUGAACGCUGGCGGCAGGCCUAACACAUGCAAGUCGAACGGUAGCACAGAGGAGCUUGCUCCUUGGGUGACGAGUGGCGGACGGGUGAGUAAUGUCUGGGAAACUGCCCGAUGGAGGGGGAUAACUACUGGAAACGGUAGCUAAUACCGCAUAAUGUCGCAAGACCAAAGAGGGGGACCUUCGGGCCUCUUGCCAUCGGAUGUGCCCAGAUGGGAUUAGCUAGUAGGUGGGGUAACGGCUCACCUAGGCGACGAUCCCUAGCUGGUCUGAGAGGAUGACCAGCCACACUGGAACUGAGACACGGUCCAGACUCCUACGGGAGGCAGCAGUGGGGAAUAUUGCACAAUGGGCGCAAGCCUGAUGCAGCCAUGCCGCGUGUAUGAAGAAGGCCUNGGGGUAACGGCUCACCUAGGCGACGAUCCCUAGCUGGUCUGAGAGGAUGACCAGCCACACUGGAACUGAGACACGGUCCAGACUCCUACGGGAGGCAGCAGUGGGGAAUAUUGCACAAUGGGCGCAAGCCUGAUGCAGCCAUGCCGCGUGUAUGAAGAAGGCCUUCGGGUUGUAAAGUACUUUCAGCGAGGAGGAAGGUGUUGAGGUUAAUAACCGCAGCAAUUGACGUUACUCGCAGAAGAAGCACCGGCUAACUCCGUGCCAGCAGCCGCGGUAAUACGGAGGGUGCAAGCGUUAAUCGGAAUUACUGGGCGUAAAGCGCACGCAGGCGGUCUGUCAAGUCGGAUGUGAAAUCCCCGGGCUCAACCUGGGAACUGCAUCCGAAACUGGCAGGCUAGAG
This 825-nucleotide ribosomal RNA is filed under the name Citrobacter sp. L55. RNAcentral describes it as "bacterial SSU rRNA". It matches the Rfam family "Bacterial small subunit ribosomal RNA", at positions 1 to 646 of the family's 1533-position model. The record is from RNAcentral. Lineage: Bacteria; Pseudomonadati; Pseudomonadota; Gammaproteobacteria; Enterobacterales; Enterobacteriaceae.